This 301-nucleotide ribosomal RNA is filed under the name uncultured bacterium. Its description in RNAcentral is "partial 16S ribosomal RNA". It matches the Rfam family "Bacterial small subunit ribosomal RNA", at positions 509 to 807 of the family's 1533-position model. The record is from RNAcentral.
CAGUCGCCACGGUAAUACGGAGGGGGCUAGCGUUGUUCGGAAUUACUGAGCGUAAAGCGCACGUAGGCUGCUUUGUAAGUUAGAGGUGAAAGCCUGGAGCUCAACUCCAGAAUUGCCUUUAAGACUGCCGAGCUAGUAGGUGAGAGAGGUAAGUGGAAUUCCGAGUGUAGAGGUGAAAUUCGUAGAUAUUCGGAAGAACACCAGUGGCGAAGGCGGCUUACUGGCUCAUUCUAGACGCUGAGGUGCGAAAGCGUGGGGAGCAAACAGGAUUAGAUACCCCGGUAGUCCCUGUCUCUUAUAC